GGGGACGUUACGGAUUCGACAGGGAUGGUUCAAGCUUGAGCUGCGCGUCGGAGGUCUCGGCUCCGUCAUCAACGGAAGUUAUAUAAUAACUGGCAAACAACAAAAUUUAGCAUACGCAGCGUAAGCUCGUAAGCGCUCUGCCUCUCUAUCGCCCAUGUAGAGAACGUGGGGCCCAACUUUAGUGGGAUACGGUCGGUGGUGCCGCUUGAGUCACCGUCAAGAGAUUUCCAAGCUAGUGUCACUGACGCCUGUUUGUCGGCAUACGUGCGCACGAAUUGCGAAUAGGCAAACUACACGCGUAGAAGUUUAAGUAUUGGAGUUUCUGGACGCGGGUUCGACUCCCGCCGUCUCCAUAA
Molecule: transfer-messenger RNA, 356 nt
Filed under: Butyricicoccus sp. 1XD8-22
Lineage: Bacteria; Bacillati; Bacillota; Clostridia; Eubacteriales; Butyricicoccaceae
Rfam family: transfer-messenger RNA
About the family: Bacterial tmRNA, also known as 10Sa RNA or SsrA, is named for its dual tRNA and mRNA-like properties.
Source: RNAcentral